GGGGCUGUAGCUCAGUGGUAGAGUGCUUGCCUAGCAUGCAAGAGUCCCUGGGUUCAAUCCUCAACACCG
Molecule: transfer RNA, 69 nt
Filed under: Ictidomys tridecemlineatus (thirteen-lined ground squirrel)
Lineage: Eukaryota; Metazoa; Chordata; Mammalia; Rodentia; Sciuridae
Description: Spermophilus tridecemlineatus (thirteen-lined ground squirrel) tRNA
Rfam family: tRNA
About the family: Transfer RNA (tRNA) molecules are approximately 80 nucleotides in length. Their secondary structure includes four short double-helical elements and three loops (D, anti-codon, and T loops).
Source: Rfam by way of RNAcentral